GCUCCUUUGGUGUAGUCCGGUCAAGCAUUUCGGCCUUUCGCGCCGAGGACCCGGGUUCAAAUCCCGGAGGGAGCA
This 75-nucleotide transfer RNA is filed under the name archaeon. RNAcentral's name for it is "tRNA-Glu". It matches the Rfam family "tRNA". From Rfam's summary of the family: Transfer RNA (tRNA) molecules are approximately 80 nucleotides in length. The record is from RNAcentral.